AGCUGUCAGUUACAAUCAGCUUAAGCACAGGUUCGAGUGGGACUGCUCCUGGAAGUCCAGGGCUAUUCCUAGUUAGCGUUUGCCCAAAACAACCAGGGGGUAUUUUCAGCACAUUCCUGAGACCAAAAAUAAGCCGUUUUCACAUGACAAACUUUCGGGAGCCUGGCCUCAAUGUCCAUUAUGGCUUUAGGCCGCUUCUCUGGGCCACUAGGGCAGGGAGCCGAUUUUUGCUGGUAGUCCAGGGUCACGCGGCAGAGGCAACGGGCUCCAGUUCCAGCAACCUGCAACCUGCCUCCUUAUUCUACAAAUGUUUACAGCUUCCAGAUCCCCGCGUGUGAAAUUAAAAUUAAAAAGCACGAAGGCUUAAGGUCCAACUAGUGACGAGUUCUCCCACCACAGUGAAUUGAUGUGAGUUUGUUUUGCGUUUGUUUAUGUUUUAAACUUAUCCAAUGCAAAUUCUUUCCCGAAACGGUGUCCUCUGUGUGCCUGUUCUGCUGCUGCCCUGGCACCUGUUCAGACCUUUGGGGACUCCUGAGCUAGGUAUCUGUUUAACACAGACCUGUUUGGGUCAGGGUUCCUGCCACUUGUCCACGGAACUGACAAACUAUCCAAAAGUAGUCACAGCCAACUACACCUCGAGGACCCGCUGGCGCGACCCCCGUGCCUCAGUUUACCCCCAGGGGCUGGUUGAGGCUUCGACAGGUGCUCAAGACCUGGGGCGCCUGAGUCCCAUCGCCGAGAAGUCUCAGCAAGUGGGCGAGUCCUCCUGACAGACGGUCCCCCUAAGAGGAGCGGUGCUGGCCUGUCCCCGCCCCGCCGGCCGCAGAGGAGGUUGCACUGAGUCUCAGAUUGCUCAUCCUUUUGGAAGUUUGAACCCCAUGCAGAGUAGCAAGAUGUCCUACAAAGCAUCCUGGUGAGAAAUACUGAUGUCCUUGGAAGCUUGACUCCCAGAGACUUUCAACCUGGAUUGUGGACAAAUAUGCCUAUUAAUACUGAGACCUAGAAUUGUGGAUCUGUGGUUGCACUCACAAGGAAACUCCUGGGAUAAUCCCUAGUGAUUCUGAAGAACUCCUGGAAGUCUUCCAAAUGGGAAGACAGAGACAGCCUCGACAUCAGGAGACUGUCUUGUGACUAUACACCAUUCUAAACUUCUGAACAUUUUUUAAACCAUGUAGUACUUUUUCCAUUAUAAUUACACAAAUUUAAAAUUUUA
This is a long non-coding RNA of Peromyscus californicus insignis, 1213 nucleotides long. RefSeq lists it as uncharacterized. NCBI's taxonomy places the organism in Eukaryota, Metazoa, Chordata, Mammalia, Rodentia, Cricetidae. The record is from RefSeq and is a predicted model, not a curated record. The transcript has 3 exons.